CCUACGGGAGGCAGCAGUGGGGAAUAUUGCACAAUGGGGGAAAGCCUGAUCCAGCGACGCCGCGUGAGUGAAGAAGUAUCUCGGUAUGUUAAGCUUUAUUAGCCGGGAAGCAAAUGACGAUACGCGUCUACGAAGCAGCGUCUAACUACGUGCCAGCAGCCGUGGCUAUAUGUGGGGGGCAAGCGUUAUACGGAUUUACUGGGGGUAAAGGGAGCGUAGUCGGCGGCACAAGUCUGGAGGUAAAACCCCGGGGUUAACCCCGGAACUGCCUUGGAAACUGGGCGGCUAGAGUGCAGGAGGGGUAAGCGGAAUUCGUGGUGUAGCGGUGAAAUGCAUAGAUAUUAGGAAGAACACCGAUGGCGAAGGUAGCAUACUGGCCUGAAACUGACGUUGAGGCACGAAAGCGUGGGGAGCGAACAGGAUUAGAUACCCUAGUAGUC
RNAcentral lists this ribosomal RNA (440 nucleotides) under uncultured bacterium. Its description in RNAcentral is "partial 16S ribosomal RNA". It matches the Rfam family "Bacterial small subunit ribosomal RNA", at positions 338 to 795 of the family's 1533-position model. The record is from RNAcentral.